Molecule: ribosomal RNA, 274 nt
Filed under: uncultured bacterium
Lineage: Bacteria
Description: partial 16S ribosomal RNA
Rfam family: Bacterial small subunit ribosomal RNA
Source: RNAcentral
AUACGUAGGGUGCGAGCGUUAAUCGGAAUUACUGGGCGUAAAGCGGGCGCAGGCGGUUAUGUAAGACAGAUGUGAAAUCCCCGGGCUCAACCUGGGAACUGCCUUUGUGACUGCAAGGCUAGAGUACGGCAGAGGGGGAUGGAAUUCCGCGUGUAGCAGUGAAAUGCGUAGAUAUGCGGAGGAACACCGAUGGCGAAGGCAAUCCCCUGGGCCUGUACUGACGCUCAUGCACGAAAGCGUGGGGAGCAAACAGGAUUAGAAACCCCAGUAGUCC